This 1467-nucleotide ribosomal RNA is filed under the name metagenome. RNAcentral's name for it is "bacterial SSU rRNA". It matches the Rfam family "Bacterial small subunit ribosomal RNA". The record is from RNAcentral.
AGAGUUUGAUCCUGGCUCAGGAUAAACGCUGGCGGCGUGCUUAACACAUGCAAGUCGAACGAAGUUUUUCUUUCGGGAGGAACUUAGUGGCGGACGGGUGAGUAACGCGUGGGUAACCUGCCCUGUACAGGGGGACAACAGCUGGAAACGGCUGCUAAUACCGCAUAAGCCCUUAGCACUGCAUGGUGCAUAGGGAAAAGGAGUAAUCCGGUACAGGAUGGACCCGCGUCUGAUUAGCCAGUUGGCAGGGUAACGGCCUACCAAAGCGACGAUCAGUAGCCGAUCUGAGAGGAUGUACGGCCACAUUGGGACUGAGACACGGCCCAGACUCCUACGGGAGGCAGCAGUGGGGAAUAUUGCACAAUGGAGGAAACUCUGAUGCAGCGACGCCGCGUGAGUGAAGAAGUAUUUCGGUAUGUAAAGCUCUAUCAGCAGGGAAGAAAAUGACGGUACCUGACUAAGAAGCACCGGCUAAAUACGUGCCAGCAGCCGCGGUAAUACGUAUGGUGCAAGCGUUAUCCGGAUUUACUGGGUGUAAAGGGAGCGUAGGUGGCAAGGCAAGCCAGAAGUGAAAACCCGGGGCUCAACCGCGGGAUUGCUUUUGGAACUGUCAUGCUAGAGUGCAGGAGGGGUGAGCGGAAUUCCUAGUGUAGCGGUGAAAUGCGUAGAUAUUAGGAGGAACACCGGAGGCGAAGGCGGCUCACUGGACUGUAACUGACACUGAGGCUCGAAAGCGUGGGGAGCAAACAGGAUUAGAUACCCUGGUAGUCCGCGCGGUAAGCGAUGGAUGCCCGCUGUUGGGCCAACUGGUUCAGCGGCCAAGCGAAAGCAUUAAGCAUCCCACCUGGGGAGUACGCCGGCAACGGUGAAACUCAAAGGAAUUGACGGGGGCCCGCACAAGCGGAGGAACAUGUGGUUUAAUUCGAUGAUACGCGAGGAACCUUACCCGGGCUUGAAUUGCAGUGGAAGGAUUUGGAGACAAUGACGCCCUUCGGGGCCUCUGUGAAGGUGCUGCAUGGUUGUCGUCAGCUCGUGCCGUGAGGUGUCGGCUUAAGUGCCAUAACGAGCGCAACCCCUCUCCAUAGUUGCCAUCAGGUUAAGCUGGGCACUCUGUGGACACUGCCACCGUAAGGUGUGAGGAAGGUGGGGAUGACGUCAAAUCAGCACGGCCCUUACGUCCGGGGCUACACACGUGUUACAAUGGCAGGUACAGAGAGCCGGUCGUAUGCAAAUACGAUCCAAUCCUUAAAGCCUGUCUCAGUUCGGACUGGGGUCUGCAACCCGACCCCACGAAGCUGGAUUCGCUAGUAAUCGCGCAUCAGCCAUGGCGCGGUGAAUACGUUCCCGGGCCUUGCACACACCGCCCGUCAAGCCAUGAAAGCCGGGGGCGCCUGAAGUCCGUGACCGCAAGGAUCGGCCUAGGGCGAAACUGGUAAUUGGGGCUAAGUCGUAACAAGGUAGCCGUAC